This 262-nucleotide ribosomal RNA is filed under the name uncultured bacterium. Its description in RNAcentral is "partial 16S ribosomal RNA". It matches the Rfam family "Bacterial small subunit ribosomal RNA", at positions 511 to 772 of the family's 1533-position model. The record is from RNAcentral.
GCAGCCGCGGUAAUACGAAGGGUGCAAGCGUUAAUCGGAAUUACUGGGCGUAAAGGGCGCGUAGGCGGUCUGUUAAGUCCGAUGUUAAAUCCCGGGGCUCAACCCCGGAUAAGCGUUGGAUACUGGCAGGCUAGACGGUUGGAGAGGCGAGUGGAAUUACCAGUGUAGCGGUGGAAUGCGUAGAUACUGGUAGGAACACCCAUUGCGAAGGCAGCUCGCUGGACAACACGUGACGCUGAGGCGCGAAAGUGUGGGGAGCAAA